RNAcentral lists this ribosomal RNA (292 nucleotides) under uncultured bacterium. Its description in RNAcentral is "partial 16S ribosomal RNA". It matches the Rfam family "Bacterial small subunit ribosomal RNA", at positions 505 to 796 of the family's 1533-position model. The record is from RNAcentral.
GUGCCAGCCGCCGCGGUAAUACGGGGGGGGCAAGCGUUGUUCGGAAUUACUGGGCGUAAAGGGUUCGUAGGUGGCCGGCUAAGUCAGACGUGAAAUCCCUCAGCUUAACUGGGGAACUGCGUCUGGGACUGGUCGGCUCGAGGGCAGGAGAGGAACGUGGAAUUCCAGGUGUAGCGGUGAAAUGCGUAGAUAUCUGGAGGAACACCGGUGGCGAAGGCGGCGUUCUGGACUGCAUCUGACACUGAGGAACGAAAGCCAGGGGAGCAAACGGGAUUAGAUACCCUCGUAGUCC